AUUGAACGCUGGCGGCAUGCCUUACACAUGCAAGUCGAACGGUAACAGGUCUUCGGAUGCUGACGAGUGGCGAACGGGUGAGUAAUACAUCGGAACGUGCCUAGUAGUGGGGGAUAACUACUCGAAAGAGUGGCUAAUACCGCAUGAGAUCUACGGAUGAAAGCAGGGGAUCGCAAGACCUUGUGCUACUAGAGCGGCCGAUGGCAGAUUAGGUAGUUGGUGGGGUAAAGGCUCACCAAGCCAACGAUCUGUAGCUGGUCUGAGAGGACGACCAGCCACACUGGGACUGGGACACGGCCCAGACUCCUACGGGAGGCAGCAGUGGGGAAUUUUGGACAAUGGACGCAAGUCUGAUCCAGCCAUGCCGCGUGCGGGAAGAAGGCCUUCGGGUUGUAAACCGCUUUUGUCAGGGAAGAAACGCUCUGGGUUAAUACCUCGGGGUAAUGACGGUACCUGAAGAAUAAGCACCGGCUAACUACGUGCCAGCCGCCGCGGUAA
This 498-nucleotide ribosomal RNA is filed under the name uncultured bacterium. RNAcentral describes it as "partial 16S ribosomal RNA". It matches the Rfam family "Bacterial small subunit ribosomal RNA", at positions 30 to 523 of the family's 1533-position model. The record is from RNAcentral.